This 6817-nucleotide long non-coding RNA is filed under the name Marmota monax (woodchuck). The record is from RNAcentral. Lineage: Eukaryota; Metazoa; Chordata; Mammalia; Rodentia; Sciuridae.
GAGGGCCUUCCCGCCGCCCCCCCACCCCGGACCUCUGAAUGGAGAGAGGCUCAGUGCGGUGUUUUCUGGGAGAUGUAGUUGGCAGGGCCCCAUGUGCGCGUGCGCAGCGUCGGGAGGCUCCUUGGUACUCUUGGGUGGUGGGUGGGCCCGAGAGUCUCCAUAGUAACCAGGGAUCCACCUGGCCAUCUCCAGGGCAACAGCCCGAGCAGCAGGCUUUUGAAAGGCCUUGAAGCUGGUGGGAUGAGAAUUUAGGAGCCGACUGGGGCCGGGAGUUGACGAGGGUGAGAGAGGAGAGACAGACACACAGAUGCAGGGACAGGGAAGCGAGACCCAGAGACUGUGCGGACAGAUUCUUGACUUGAGCAGAGACAGUGAAAGUAAGUAAACAGCAAAAUCCAUGUGAUUAAAAGAGGGAUUUCACCUAAUUAGAGAGGGUCAGAGAGUCAGAACUGUUGCCUAGAGGCAGAAAGAUCAGAAACGGAUGGACGAGAGAGAGAGAGAGAGAGAGAGAGAGAGAGAGAGAGAGAGAGAGAGAGGAGAGACAAGAAUAACGGACUGUAAGAAACACGCUCGCUCACCUGUUCAAGCCCAAAGAAAGGACUAAGAGACACAAGAUAUAGCAAAAAGCGACAAUUCUGCAAGGUCGGGAAUCUGUGGGAGCAGGCACACCCCAGAGCCAUUACAAUUGGCAUUUUAUCCUGUAGAGCUCAAAGUUCUUUCUCCCACUUCCUCAGUGGCUGAAUACUAUGGGGUACACAAUCUUCCAGAACUUUGCCUAGGUUUUACUGUUGUCUAUUGGAUUAUUUAAAUAAAAAUACCUUUAGUCGUUCUUCCCACCUUCCUUUGUUUUUAGUGGGCCGAAAGCCUUUCUGGGAUUGGGUGCAUUUUGGCACCUAUGAAGUUUAUUUUUGUUGGCCAGGCAGGCCCCUUACUUCACACCUCCUGUUUGUCAAGGGGCUGUGAAUUUUUCAUUCUGGUGUUGCCUGCUUGUAACUUUCUACUCCCCCCUUCAACUGCCUUACAUCCCAAUUUUAUAUUUAACGCUAAAUACUAUAUUCUGAAAAUGGACCACUGGACUUCCUCUUUUACAUCCUGGGGAACGGGGUGGGGAGAAACAGUGAUUGAAAUCAAAUUCAUUGCAUGUAUGGUUUUUGUCUAAAUGAACUCAACUACCAUGUAUAGAUAUAAUGCUCUAAAAAAAAAGUGCAGACAUCCAGACUCAAGAGAUGUACAGGAGUACAGAGGUAAGACAGAAGACAUGGGAAGAAAUUAGAGAUACAGUAAGAUGGAUUGACAGUUUUCAAAGACUGGGAAAAAGAUGAUAGCAAGAAGAGAUGGAGAAAUCAGGUACUGCAGGAAGCUGAGGCAGGAGGAUCACAAGUUUGAGGCCAGCCUCAGCAAUUUAGUGAGGCCCUAAGCAGUUUAAGGAGACCCUGUAUCAAAAAACAAAAUAAAAAGGGCUGUGGAUAUACCUCAGUGGUAAAGCGCCUCUGGGUUCAAUCCCCAGUACAAAACAAACAGAAAAACAAGACAAAACAAAAAAAAAAAAAGGGAGAGUUGGUUUUUAGGAAAAUUUAUCUAAAACUUGAUAAUAAGGCAAAAAGUUGACUGGAAGUCGUAAAUUCCCUAGCAUUGUCUACUUAGCCCAUUUUUAGACUCCCUAAACACAGCAACCCUUCAAUUAACUACUUUUGGUCAAGGUCCAGGGGUGGUUUAUUAGAGACUUACUUGUAAAAGGCUGAAAGACUGCUGAUGCUUUCUGUCCAGUGUAUUGCUGGCUAGGUCACUAAGAAGUUUUGCAUCUGACUUUGGGCUUUUAUGUCAGUAUUGGGACCCCUGGUUCCUCUGUGAGGUACAUGAGUUUCUGACACAUGCUUCCUGAGAGUUGUUUGUAAUUUAAAAAAAUUAUAAUGGGGGAGUAGGGGUGGGGCAGGGGUGUUGAGACCUUGCCUUUUGGCUGUCUUGCCUCCUUCCCUCUAGAAACAAAAAAAGCCCCUUCUCCCAGAGUAUAUACACACAUUGACAUUCUGAAGGGAGCCCAUUCUGGAAGGACAGCCAGAGAGGAAAAACAGGCAAAAGCCAGAGGGAAAGGAGGCAGGAAGGCCAGAGUGGCUGGCUGCACCACCCAAUCCUCCUGGGCUGAUGGCUCCCCUGCUCAGCCACCAAUGCAGGUAUCUUCCUGGCGGCUGUGGGCUCCUGGCUCCUGGGUUCUGCGAGAUGCCAUUUCCACUCAUAUCUUGCAUGUCAAGAGGGCUUGGGAAGCCACUCCGGAGAGGGAGAGGGGAAAUGAGCAAAAUUAAAAUUGUGGGUGAGCAGGUCAAGGCAUGGAUACAGGAGACAGAAGGACUGGGGCCCCUUUCAGGUGUUACUGAAAACUCUAUCCUAGUCCCUAAAACCAAUCCAAUAAUGAGGACACAGUUUUGAGAAAAAAGGAAAAAUAAGUUUUAUUGAUUUUCUAGCAAAGGCAAAACACAGGAACUCCUGUUCCAGAUGCUUGAUUCUGCCUCUUGGGAAAGAGAUGGCAUAUAUAUAUAUAUAUAUAUAUAUAUAUAUAUAUAUAUAUAUAUAUAUAUAUAUCUCACGUAUUGAAUGUAGGGUCACUUAAUCACUGAGCCACAUCCUAACCCUUUAAAAAUGUAUUAAUUUUAUUUUGAGACAGGAUCUCAUUAAGUUGCUUAGGGCCUUGCUAAAUUGCUGAGACUGGCUUUAAUGAUCUUUCUGCCUUAGCCUUCAAAAUUGCUGGAUUGCAGACAUGCACCACCAAGUACUGCAACAGAGGGAUUUUUAAAGAGAUGAUUCAAAGGCUACAUUCUAGGUGUGCCCUGUUAGGGGUUGUAAUUCACUUGUAGACUUGGGAGACUUUUUUUUUUUUUUUUUGUACUGGGGAUUGAACUCAGGAGCAUUCAACUGCUGAGCCACAUCCCCAGCCCUAUUUUGUAUUUUAUUUAGAGACAGGUCUUACUGAGUUUCUUAAUGCCUCACUGUUGCUGAAGGAGACAGUCAUUUUUUAGAUCUUAUUGUGCCAUCCCUGAAGUCUGAAUCACUCCAUUCCUGUGGUACAGGUUUGCUCAAGGACAGAUAAUGUGGCCUAGUAUGGGAAGAAGUUUAGGGAGAGGGAGAGGGAGAAAACAAAACAAAACAAAAACAUAUCAGUUUAAAAGUAAGCCACAGAGACAGAAGCAGCAAGGGUCAUGUCCUAAGCAUGAAAUGGACCCCUGUUACACAGGCAGGAGCCUUUCCCUGCCUUCCCAGGCUCCUGACCCUGGGGAUUUGUCCUUGGCGCCCUAGCCAGUCCACCAACAGACCAUUCAAGCACUCCUUUAAAUUUGUAAUGGUGAUUGUGGCAAAUUCCUGUAAUCCCAGCCACUUGGAAGACUGAGGCAGGAGGAUUACAAGUUUGAGGCUAGCUUUAGCAACUCAGUGAGACCCUGUCUCAAAAUAAAAUAAGAAAGAAGGCUAGGUAUGUAGCUUUGUAGUAGACUGCCGCUGGAUUCUAUACCAGUAACACGGGAUAGGGGAGGACCUAAUGUUUUGAUCAGCUGCUAGGGUCACAUUGUUCAGAAUGCAAAAGGAACAGUGUGGGAAGUGGCCUCCCACCACUCUCUGUACUUCAGGGUCUGGAGACACAACAGAGGGCUCAGUUAAAUACAAGGGGUAGGGCCUUUCUGAUAAGUCAUAGUUGAACAGACACCUGUAGAAGAUGGGGGAACAAGCUAUGUAGAUAACGGGGAAGAACUCUGCCUAGAGAUGUGGUCUAGAGUGAGUGAAAGAGAGAAGGAGGCUUUGAUGCCACAAGGAACCCAGUGAAACUGUGACAUUUACCCCCAGAGUUGGGAGGCCUGGGAGGACCCUACCAGAGGAUGGACAGGAUCUGGCUUCAGUCUUACUUCAUUACUCUGUCAUGUAGAGGACUGUCAUUCUUCUCUCACACCACAUACUCUAAGCUUUUCAGGAGGUUACCUUCUGUGUUAAAUUUCUAAUGAUUGCUAUAACAAAUUACUAUAAAUUUAGUGUUUUAAAACCACACAGCUUUCUCAUCUUAGUGUCUUGGCAGUCAGAAUAUUGAAAUGGAUUUCACUAAACCAAAAUCAAGCUAUCAGCAAGGCUACUUCCUUGAGGAUCUAGGCUUCAUUGGUCAAAUAUUUCUGGGUAUCUUAUUAGCACUCCUGUGAUUACAUUUAGGGGCCACCUGGAUAACCCAAGAUAAUCUACUUAAUUUGGGAUUACUAAUUUACAAAGUUUCUUUUACCAUGUAAAGUAAUUAAUAGGUUUCUGGAAUUAGGAGUGUGGACAUCCUUAGGUGCCCUUCACUGAUACUUGAUGUCUCUGCAUGAGAAGUGUGGAGACAGGUGGCUCACCUGUGUCUUGGAGGUGGGUCAAGCUCUCCCAAUUCUCUUUCCCUUAGGGUGGCAAGAGGUUCCUAGACCACCCUACAUCAGUGUAAGAAGAAAGCAGAGUCCCCCAGAAGACCUCUUUUAGUGUCAUAAGAAGGCUGAGAAGUGAGUUUGUAGUGUUUCUAGUAGGAGAGAGAAGAGGCUGGGUGUGCUGCUGGAGCAGUGGUUGGCAGGGCUGGGUGGUCUGUGAAGAGCAUGGGAUGGCCAGGUAUGUGUCACACAUUAAAGUUCAUGUGUUGGGGCUGAGGAUGUGGCACAAAUGGUAGCGCGCUCGCCUAGCAUGUGUGAGGCACUGGGUUCGAUUCUCAGCACUACAUAAAAAAUAAAAUAAAAAUAUCGUGUCCACAUAAAACUAAAAAAUAAAUAUUAAAAACAGUUCAUGUGUUUCCUUCUUACAGGUAGAGGAGGUGGCGAGAGAGGACAAGAGAGGGCAAGAGACUACCACUGUGGGCACAACAGCAGCUCCAGGCAGGGAGAAGACAGCUUGUUGAAGUGUAUGGAGCAAGGAGGCAAAAUGAAGGCAGCCCCCAACUACAGGUGUCAGAAAAGGCAGUGCCAAGAGGAAUCAGAAGUCUAUCACAAUACAUAUGAAAGUGGAGGUGCUGCAGAGGUUUGAGGAGGGUGAGAAACUGACAGACUGCCUGGGCCGUGGGGCUGACCAUCUGCACUGUUGCCUCCAUCCGUGUCAACAAAGGUCGGAUCUUGGCCAGUUCUCAGGUGGCCACUCCAGUCAGUGCCAGGCAGCUGACCUGCUGUUGGAGUAUGGUGAUGAGCCAUAUGGAGAGCCAGCAUGUUGCUUAUCCAGGACAAGACACACCAGCUUCUUGCAUGGCUUCAAUAGAGCAGGGCAAUAGUGCUCAGACUGAAAACUUUGGGGCCAGCAAUGGCUGGUUUGUCCAUUUCAAGAUAUGCCACGAUGACACCCAGGCUGCUGCUUGAUAACCCAAAGUUAUACACCAUCCUGAAGGAGGGCUGCUACUUACCACCCCAGGCCUUCAAUGUGGAUAAGACAGGCCUGUUCUGGAAGCGGCUGCUUGAGAGGGUGUCUGGGCUGGGCCCAAGACUUCUAAGUAUCACCUAACUCUGCUACUGGGUGGCAGUGCUUCUGGUGAUUUCAAGCUAAAGCCCCUUGGAGAAUCUGCACUCCCUCAAGGGCUGCUGCAAGGCCAGCCUGCCUGUGGUCUGAUACUCCAACCACCAUGACUGGCUGACUCCUAACAUCUUCCAGAAAUGGUUCACUGGACCCUUCUGUCCCACCAUGGAAAGCUACCAUGCCCUACUGCUCCUGGAUGGUGUAACUUGCCACCCUCCCUGUACACCUGGGUGACACCUCAGGCAUGUUGAGUUCCUACCUAAGAACACCUCAAUUUCUAUCCAGCUCAUGAACGAGGGCAUCACUGCUGCCUUCAAGACCUAUUACCUGUGCUGCAUGCUCAACCAGCCAGUCCAGGAAAUAGCUGGUGAGGCCCAACUCUCUGCAUAGGAGUUUUGGCACAGCUAUACUGUCAAGACCACAGUGCACAAUGCUGCUGAGGCCUGGGCAGAACUGCACCCAUUACUGUGAACAGGGCUUGGAGGAUUGUAUCACUGAGCCUGAUAGCGUUCCCUGGUUCUGCCAUAGCACUACAGUGCUAACCAGCCAUGUGGUCGUGCUUGGGGAUGUGGCUGAGGCAGAUGUCGCCUGCCUCUGCAGGCCCAUGGAGAGCUCUCCAGAUCCUGCAGGGUCCCCCUGGACUCAGAGGAUGGGGAUGCCAGCAGCUCUAGGCUGCUCUGGGAGGAGGGGAAAGGCCUAUUUUUAACAAGGCCAGAGACAGAGCUCACAGAAGGUGCAGGGAUUGAGGAAGUUGGUGUGGUAGUGCUGAGCCAUGAGCAUCUGGCCCUGGCCCUGUCCUACCUUGUUUCUGGCCUUCAGGUCCUUAUAGAGAAUGACCCCAUUUGGGAGUGCAGUCUGCAUGUCUUGGGAUGUCCACAGAGCUUUUGCCUGCCUCCAGGAGCUGUACUGACACAGGGGGUGGCAGGUUCAGAAGGUGCAUCCUCAGGAGGCCCUGUGGUCGUGGCAGCAAGAAUUCAAAGGAAGGGCUGGUGUUGUGGCUCAGAGGUAGAAUCACUUGCCUGCCAUGCGUGAGGUCCUGGGUUCAAUCCUCAGCACCACAUAAAAAUAAAAUAAAGAUAUUGUGUCCACAUAUAACUAAAAAUAAAUAAAUAAAUAUUUAAAAAAAAGAAUUCAAAGGAAGCCUAUCCUCACUACAGCAGGGGCCUGCAGAAGAUGGAUGUGUUGGGGACCACAAAUCAAGUCAAGAUAGCGCCUGGCAGUUUGCCAGGAGGAGUGGUUUGUGAGGCAACACCACGGAGCCAUUAAGAUGGUGAGGAUUCCUUAUUGGCUGAUUGCUGUAUCUGGAUGAUGCUAACUGAGUCAAGCUGUG